This 426-nucleotide ribosomal RNA is filed under the name uncultured bacterium. RNAcentral describes it as "partial 16S ribosomal RNA". It matches the Rfam family "Bacterial small subunit ribosomal RNA", at positions 354 to 796 of the family's 1533-position model. The record is from RNAcentral.
GUGAGGAAUUUUCCGCAAUGGGCGAAAGCCUGACGGAGCAAUGCCGCGUGAAGGAUGAAGGCCUAUGGGUUGUAAACUUCUUUUCUCAGAAAAGAAUUAUGACGGUAUCUGAGGAAUAAGCAUCGGCUAACUCUGUGCCAGCAGCCGCGGUAAGACAGAGGAUGCAAGCGUUAUCCGGAAUGAUUGGGCGUAAAGCGUCUGUAGGUUGUUUAAAAAGUAUUCUGUCAAAGAUUAGGGCUUAACCCUAGAUAGGCAGAAUAAACUUUUAAGCUAGAGUUUGGUAGAGGCAGAGGCAAUUCCCGGUGGAGCGGUGAAAUGCGUAGAUAUCGGGAGGAACACCAAAGGCGAAGGCACUCUGCUGGGCCAAUACUAACACUGAGAGACGAAAGCGAGGGGAGCAAAUGGGAUUAGAAACCCUAGUAGUCC